UACAGAGGUCCCAAGCGUUGUUCGGAUUCACUGGGCGUAAAGGGUGCGCAGGUGGGUUGGCAAGUUUGAUGUGAAAGCCCCGGGCUUAACCCGGGAAUGGCAUUGAAUACUGCUGAUCUGGAGGAUUGGAGGGGGGACUGGAAUUCUUGGUGUAGCAGUGAAAUGCGUAGAUAUCAAGAGGAACACCAGUGGCGAAGGCGAGUCCCUGGACAAUACCUGACACUGAGGCACGAAAGCUAGGGGAGCAAACAGG
RNAcentral lists this ribosomal RNA (253 nucleotides) under uncultured bacterium. RNAcentral's name for it is "partial 16S ribosomal RNA". It matches the Rfam family "Bacterial small subunit ribosomal RNA", at positions 524 to 776 of the family's 1533-position model. The record is from RNAcentral.